UACGUUCCCAGGCCUUGUACACACCGCCCGUCACAUCAUGAAAGCCGCUUGUACCCGAAGUCGCCCUUAAAAGGCGCCGAAGGUAUGGGUGGUGAUUGGGAUG
RNAcentral lists this ribosomal RNA (103 nucleotides) under uncultured bacterium. Its description in RNAcentral is "partial 16S ribosomal RNA". It matches the Rfam family "Bacterial small subunit ribosomal RNA", at positions 1367 to 1482 of the family's 1533-position model. The record is from RNAcentral.